This 469-nucleotide long non-coding RNA is filed under the name Lathyrus oleraceus (garden pea). RNAcentral describes it as "Pisum sativum (pea) long non-coding RNA (PSAT_LNC035100)". The record is from RNAcentral. Lineage: Eukaryota; Viridiplantae; Streptophyta; Magnoliopsida; Fabales; Fabaceae.
AAGGAAGCUGAAGAAGAAGCAAAAAGACUAGAGGAAGAAAGACUGGCAAAAGAAGCAGAAAUCCUAAGGGAACAGGAAGCUAAGGCUCUGGCGGAUGCAGAAGCCCAAGCUGCUGCUGAAGCUGAAGCUCAGCAGGCUCUGACUCAGGGGGAGUCUUCAACUGCUAUUCCGAUGAUUCUUCAGACUUUGAAGGACCUUAAGGAAGAUCAGAAUAUCCUCCGAGACAGAAUGGACAAGCAAGAUUCGGUCAAUGAGAACAUCCAGAAGAUGCUUGCCAUGAUCCUGCAGAAAUUGCCUCAGAACCCUUAGGCACUUAGGAUUUUAUGUUUUGCUUGCCUUUUUUUGUUUUUGCUUCUGUCAUCUUUUUGGAUCUGAUGUUUUGUUCUUGAUCUUUUUGAAUCUGAUGCUUUGUGUUUCUAUUUUAAUGAAAUGUUUUUCUCUUUAAGUUAAUUUUUAUUACUAUGUCUUU